GAAUGCUGAAAUCGGCUGAAAGGACUUACUCGAUGGACAUUUCGCAGGACGACGAACCAGAACGGUUCCGAGCAGGAAAAGGCGAGAAACGGCCUGUGCUAAUUUUCCUGGAUAGCUGAUUUUUGGCGCGCUCCAGCUUUAAUCCUGCAGUCUAAGUGAAUGUGAAAUGUAACAAGCCAAGUGACAGUUAGCAAAAGUCAGAAGACAACUAAAAGGGGGAAAGGCGAAGGGAGAGACGGCAACCAAACAGAUGGAAACAACUCGCAGAUGCUGAUGUUCCUGCCCCAGGAGACAUUUAACAUAAUAAAAACGAACGUGUGCCUUUUGGCCAAGUUAACUCCUGUUCCUGCAUCUGUGUGUGAGUGUUCGUUCCAUGCUAAUAUCACAGACAGUCGCCCCCGCUCAACCCACACAAACUUACAAACAAACAAUAUUGCAAAUGUGUGCGUGAGGCAGUUGGCAAAAGUGUCGUAAAUCGUUUAGACAGCGCGACGUGGCCCAGAAAAAGGAGAUGAGGGCCAAAAAACGAUAUGUAAACGACACAGCAGUCGCCGUGGGAAAAACUGGGAAAUGACAACAAAAAAGACCAAGAAAACGGAGGAUCCAACGAUGAACUGCAUUUGUUGCUCAUAUGUUUCCAGAUAUGCGGAGAAAAAGUGAUAACAAAGUAACUUUUUGCAAUGAUGACUGAUUAUCAAUUUGUUGAAUUCCUUUUUUUACAAAAAAUCCUUACAGAAUAAGGGUGACGAUGGCCUAUCAAUACUGCGAU
This 769-nucleotide small RNA is filed under the name Drosophila yakuba. RNAcentral's name for it is "GE28211". The record is from RNAcentral. Lineage: Eukaryota; Metazoa; Arthropoda; Insecta; Diptera; Drosophilidae.